Lotus japonicus is the source of this 107-nucleotide small nucleolar RNA. Lineage: Eukaryota; Viridiplantae; Streptophyta; Magnoliopsida; Fabales; Fabaceae. The record is from RefSeq and is a predicted model, not a curated record.
AGGUUGUGUUGAGGGCACUUCCUUAACAGUUUCUUGAACCGCUCUAGAGCUUCAUAGAGAUUCUCAGUAUCUUGCUGUUUAAAAACCAGGAUGUCGUUCUUCAGCUU